RNAcentral lists this non-coding RNA (700 nucleotides) under Dracunculus medinensis (Guinea worm). RNAcentral describes it as "Eukaryotic large subunit ribosomal RNA". It matches the Rfam family "Eukaryotic large subunit ribosomal RNA", at positions 675 to 1341 of the family's 3401-position model. Lineage: Eukaryota; Metazoa; Nematoda; Chromadorea; Rhabditida; Dracunculidae. The record is from Rfam by way of RNAcentral.
UGAGCGCUUGCUUAUAUUGUGGCUGUAAGCCUUGUUUGUGCAAUAAAACUGCAGCAAAGCUCUAGUAAAGCAUAGGCAAUUUCCUUCCGUUUCUGUCCUCUACAACCAGUCAACGAAUUGCCGCUGUCCACCUAAGAGAAAAGCACUGAUAUUUAAAGUACUGAUAUGUUCUGAUAGACCCGUUCGUAUUGCAUGCAAUUGAUCGGAGUUAGAGCGUAUGCGCUGGUACCCGAAAGAUGGUGAACUAUGCCUGAGCAGGAUGAAGCCAGAGGAAACUCUGGUGGAAGUCCGAAGCGGUUCUGACGUGCAAAUCGAUCGUCCGACUCGGGUAUAGGGGCGAAAGACUAAUCGAACCAUCUAGUAGCUGGUUCCCUCUGAAGUUUCCCCCAGGAUAGCUGGAACUUAUUUUGAGCAGUUAUAUACGGUAAAGCGAAUGAUUAGAGGAAUUGGGGACGAAACGACCUCAACCUAUUCUCAAACUUUCAAUGUGUAUGACGUCUCGCUUGCUUGAAAGAAUUGUGAAGCGUUUAGACAUUGAAUGUGAGUUCCAAGUGGGCCAUUUUUGGUAAGCAGAACUGGCGCUGUGGGAUGAAAAAGUUCUGAUAAACUACCGAUGUUUUAUGUGUUCUCCCGAUCUAACUAAUAGAAGGGUGCAAAACGUGAAGCAUUACAAAAUGCAACUAAAACUUGAUUUCUACAG